Molecule: non-coding RNA, 27 nt
Filed under: Macaca fascicularis (crab-eating macaque)
Lineage: Eukaryota; Metazoa; Chordata; Mammalia; Primates; Cercopithecidae
Also listed under: 3 other names
Source: RNAcentral
AGCGCACGGGGUCGGCGGCGAUGUCGG